Molecule: ribosomal RNA, 319 nt
Filed under: uncultured eukaryote
Lineage: Eukaryota
Description: partial 18S ribosomal RNA
Rfam family: Eukaryotic small subunit ribosomal RNA
Source: RNAcentral
CCCUUAGAUGUUCUGGGCUGCACGCGUGCUACAAUGGCGUUUCCAGCAAGUCUGCGAACCCGAGAGGGCCAGCGGAUCUUCGAAUUGGCGUCGUGAUCGGGACAGUCGAUUGCAAUUAUUUGACUCAAACGAGGAAUUCCUUGUAAUCGCGAUUCAUCAUAUCGCGCUGAAUACGUCCCUGCCCUUUGUACACACCGCCCGUCACUCCUACCGAUUGAGCGAUCCGGUAAAUGUUUUGGAUUGGUGCCGGGGCGGCUAGCUGCCGGUCGCUACGAAAUUUUGUGAACCUUAUCGCUUAGAGGAAGGAAAAGUCGUAACA